CCGUCCUGUGUGAGAGGGGGUGAGUCUCGGAUCGGGGGUGGGGGGAGGUCCCUGCAGGGUGGGCGCCAAGAACCAGGGCACAUCUGUCCCUUCGUGCCCCCGUUCCCACCUGGGUCAUUGUCCUAGCCUGCCUGUGCCUGGCAUCCCCCCUGCACAGUUCUCAGUCCCGGACUUGAUGUGGGCGUGGGGGAGCUGUCUUCCAGGGGACUCUCUCCAGACUCGUGGUCCCCUGUUACCCAAGAAGGGGCAAAGAAUCCCAUCAGCUAGCUUCCUCAUCCUCAGCCUGUCCUCCAGUGUGGGAUGAGGUUUGUUACCUACAGCCCAAAGCCGAGAAAAGGCUGGGGACCUUCGCACCAGGUACUGCAACAGCCCAGCCACAGCCCAGCUCCUCCACCCUCCUGCCCCCAGCCUUUGGAACCUACCUUCUGGAACCCUCUCUAUGUGUCCUGACUCAUUCAUUCAUCCACUUAUCUCCUGAUGGACUCUGAGGUGGGUGUGGGACACAGGUAAGUGGGAUAGAGACUAUGUGUGACCAGUGAAGAGGGCGGGAGGUGGGUGGGGAGGUGAGCCCAUGGCUGGCCAGGGGCAGUGACCAAUGAUGCCAGUUUUCAGGGGAGCUAAUUAAGGCCAGAGAGAUUAGGAGGCUUGCAAAGUCACAGAUUCUGGAGCAAUGCCAACCCUGAAGGUCCAAGGACGUCAAUCACCUCCCCCCCCAGCCCCCACUGCCAUGUACCCUGUGACCAGCACAAGGCCUUCCUCCACAGCCCCUCCUGCUGCCCUUGGGCAGGAGCCCAGGGCUUCUUCGUUCUCCAGCCCCACCCCUGGUGCCCUGAGCCAGAAGUCUUGGCAGCCCUCUCUGCUCUCCACAUCCCUAGAAAUCAGACCAAGACAUUUCCCUGCUUAGGACCCAAUCAGGGCCCCCUUGGCCCAAGGACAAAGUCCAAACUCCUCAGUGUGGCUCCCAAGGGCCCAAGAUCCAGCCCCACCCUGGCUGCUCUCACUCAGCUCUCCAUGACGUGCUUUCCAGAUGGAAAUUUCUGGAACGCAUAUAAUGGGCAUCUUGCCCCCAGCACUUUGCACAUGCUGUUCCCACUUUUCUGUGUGUGGCUAACUCUGACCCCCAAUAGGUCUUGUUCCUAGCCACCCUGAAAGGCCCAGAGUCCUCAAGCAUGACAGUCGUUGGCAGUGCCUGGCUCAGGCUGGUCUGGCACAGCAGAGACACUCAAUAGGACAAAGGGAAAGCUCAAAGGCCAACUCUUCCCAGGAAUGUGCAUAAGCCCCCAACCUACACUGGAACCCCAUGAGGUCUUGAGCACUCCUUUCCCAGGAAGGGCAGGCAAAGGCCCAAGUCCUCAGGGAUGCAAACUUACAGCCUGACAGAUACAUAAUGAUUCCAGGGAAGCUCAGGGCUUGGCGCUCCCUUAGCCGAGGACGAGCUGGGCCCAGCAUACUCCCUGCAGGAACCAGAGCUUACUCUGUGUUCCAUGGCAAGAGCCAAGUAACUUGAGCUAACCAUUCUCCAACCAACCCUGGCUCUCCAGGGCUUUCUCAAUCCUGCGUGUCUGCAUCCUGCCCAGGCUGCUGCCCUGGGGACAGGCUGCUACCCCGUUUAUGGGGGAGGAUGCCGGACAGCCCAAGUGACACUGAACCUCACACCAGCCUCUCCUUGCAACCAGUAGGUCAGAGGGUGGACUACGCAAGAUGAGCCACCUGUCCAGUCUCCACUGGCUAUGAAGGUCGGCCGACCUUGCUCUGCAAACCCGUGGUUGCUUCCGGGUCCCAGAGAGGGACAAAGACCUACUGGCCCCUCGCUCAGCUACGUACUGCAGCAAUGGCUGCUAUAGUCACACUGGAGCUGCCCAGAGCCCUGCCUCCACAAGUGCAGUAGCCAAACCAGGAGGAAGGUUCUAGUGGAAGACCUCACAUAAUAUACAUCACAAGAUGCAGGGCACAGAGCCUCACAGAACUAAAAACAGGUCCUGACACGCGUAGGAGGGAGAAGAGGACAAGCGGCUGUUUUGUGGGCAGGCGGGACGCAGAUGGGGAUACCGAGGCUGAAGAGACUGAGGAACUCGCUCGGCACUACAGUCAGUAAAGAGAACCCCACUGGCUGGAAGUCAGCUCAUUCCAAGCCCACGCCCCAAAGGGCAGCCCCGACUGGACCAAGAGUGAUUCUGCCAGGCAGUGGAGUAUCAACCUUGAUCCAUGGUGGCUACAUCUGAGCUGGGUUUUCAGAGAGAAUUCUUCAGAAAAGGAGAAAAAACAUCCCAGGGGGGAAAAAAUCUGUCAUUACUACAAAUGUGAUGGCAUAUAAAAGAUGCAAUUUUUAAAAAUUCACCCACAUAAAGUCAGCU
Mustela erminea (ermine) is the source of this 2354-nucleotide long non-coding RNA. RefSeq lists it as uncharacterized. The record is from RefSeq and is a predicted model, not a curated record. The transcript has 3 exons. Lineage: Eukaryota; Metazoa; Chordata; Mammalia; Carnivora; Mustelidae.